AAGCACAGCUCUUUUAGAAUUUUUUUUUUCUAACAGCUUUUCUGACCUUGGUUGGAAAAUCCAA
Molecule: small nuclear RNA, 64 nt
Filed under: Mus caroli (Ryukyu mouse)
Lineage: Eukaryota; Metazoa; Chordata; Mammalia; Rodentia; Muridae
Description: predicted gene, 54363 (MGP_CAROLIEiJ_G0035654.1)
Source: RNAcentral